GCCGCGGUAGUAUAGCCCGGCCAAGUAUGCGGGCCUCUCGAGCCCGUGACCCGGGUUCAAAUCCCGGCCGCGGCA
This is a transfer RNA of Hyperthermus butylicus DSM 5456, 75 nucleotides long. It matches the Rfam family "tRNA". From Rfam's summary of the family: Transfer RNA (tRNA) molecules are approximately 80 nucleotides in length. Their secondary structure includes four short double-helical elements and three loops (D, anti-codon, and T loops). The record is from Rfam. Lineage: Archaea; Thermoproteati; Thermoproteota; Thermoprotei; Desulfurococcales; Pyrodictiaceae.